This 342-nucleotide ribosomal RNA is filed under the name uncultured bacterium. Its description in RNAcentral is "bacterial SSU rRNA". It matches the Rfam family "Bacterial small subunit ribosomal RNA", at positions 8 to 334 of the family's 1533-position model. The record is from RNAcentral.
AGGGUUCGAUCAUGGCUCAGGGUGAACGCUGGCGGCGUGCCUAACACAUGCAAGUCGAACGGAGCUGAUAUGACGGAGAUUCGUCGAAGACAUUGAAAGCUUAGUGGCGGACGGGUGAGUAACGCGUGGGUAACCUGCCUCAUCGAGGGGGAUAACAGAGAGAAAUCACUGCUAAUACCGCAUAAGCCCACGGGACCGCAUGGUCCUGAGGGAAAAGAUUUAUCGCGAUGAGAUGGACCCGCGUCUGAUUAGUUAGUUGGCAGGGUAACGGCCUACCAAGACGACGAUCAGUAGCCGGACUGAGAGGUUGAACGGCCACAUCGGGACUGAGACACGGCCCAA